This 383-nucleotide ribosomal RNA is filed under the name uncultured bacterium. RNAcentral describes it as "bacterial SSU rRNA". It matches the Rfam family "Bacterial small subunit ribosomal RNA", at positions 28 to 412 of the family's 1533-position model. The record is from RNAcentral.
GACGAACGCUGGCGGCGUGCUUAACACAUGCAAGUCGAGCGGUAAGGCCCUUUCGGGGGUACACGAGCGGCGAACGGGUGAGUAACACGUGGGUGACCUGCCCUCAGCUCUGGGAUAAGCCCGGGAAACUGGGUCUAAUACCGGAUAUGACUCCAUGACGCAUGUUGUGGGGUGGAAAGCCUUGUGCGGCUGAGGAUGGGGCCCGCGGCCUAUCAGCUUGUUGGUGGGGUGAUGGCCACCAAGGCGACGACGGGUAGCCGGCCUGAGAGGGCGACCGGCCACACUGGGACUGAGAUACGGCCCAGACUCCUACGGGAGGCAGCAGUGGGGAAUCUUGCGCAAUGGGCGAAAGCCUGACGCAGCGACGCCGCGUGAGGGAUGAC